RNAcentral lists this ribosomal RNA (611 nucleotides) under Streptomyces sp. EK-MI5. RNAcentral describes it as "bacterial SSU rRNA". It matches the Rfam family "Bacterial small subunit ribosomal RNA", at positions 56 to 685 of the family's 1533-position model. The record is from RNAcentral. Lineage: Bacteria; Bacillati; Actinomycetota; Actinomycetes; Kitasatosporales; Streptomycetaceae.
UGCAGUCGACGAUGNACCACUUCGGUGGGGAUUAGUGGCGAACGGGUGAGUAACACGUGGGCAAUCUGCCCUGCACUCUGGGACAAGCCCUGGAAACGGGGUCUAAUACCGGAUACUGAUCCUCGCAGGCAUCUGCGAGGUUCGAAAGCUCCGGCGGUGCAGGAUGAGCCCGCGGCCUAUCAGCUAGUUGGUGAGGUAACGGCUCACCAAGGCGACGACGGGUAGCCGGCCUGAGAGGGCGACCGGCCACACUGGGACUGAGACACGGCCCAGACUCCUACGGGAGGCAGCAGUGGGGAAUAUUGCACAAUGGGCGAAAGCCUGAUGCAGCGACGCCGCGUGAGGGAUGACGGCCUUCGGGUUGUAAACCUCUUUCAGCAGGGAAGAAGCGAAAGUGACGGUACCUGCAGAAGAAGCGCCGGCUAACUACGUGCCAGCAGCCGCGGUAAUACGUAGGGCGCAAGCGUUGUCCGGAAUUAUUGGGCGUAAAGAGCUCGUAGGCGGCUUGUCACGUCGGUUGUGAAAGCCCGGGGCUUAACCCCGGGUCUGCAGUCGAUACGGGCAGGCUAGAGUUCGGUAGGGGAGAUCGGAAUUCCUGGUGUAGCGGUNAA